This 1318-nucleotide long non-coding RNA is filed under the name Homo sapiens (human). RNAcentral describes it as "HSALNT0386072". Lineage: Eukaryota; Metazoa; Chordata; Mammalia; Primates; Hominidae. The record is from RNAcentral.
UUGGGUGGUCUAGGGUAUACUAGGGUUCUAAAGCUCUGUGACAUCAUCAUGAGUCUCAGAAAUGGCCAGAAUGUUCCUUGCUGCAGAUGCAUUGGCCCCAUCUGCAGGUCCUCUUUGACACCUACCUUACUCUCUCCCUCCACUCACACUCUGAGAACUGUGCUCAGGGGCAGCGCUACAACUUCCACAUUGGUCUUUACAGGGCUUGAGUGAUUAUUUCAAGAACAGAACGCUGUGUGGAAACCUUUACCAUAUUUCGUUGUAUCUAAGACACAUUUUUUUUUUUUGAAAUUUAACAUCUCUAAGGUUGGGUUAUGUUUCUUCAUCAUUGUCAGGUUGGAGCUUAAUCAGCAGCACUUUUUUUUAAUGUCACACACAGUAAUGGUGAUGCAUCUCACAAUUGAGAUCAUCUUAGACAUGAUGGAAUAUGGAAUCGUGUGCCUGUUACAAGCCAGGCUCUUGUCUGGGUUCUAGAGACGGUGGAAACCAAGACAGCACCAUCCUCUAGUGGUGUUCACAUCCCACCACAGUGGAGUCAGGACUUUGAAGUCCUCCAUUGGAUCUUCUCGGAAGAUGAGGGAAAUGAGAGAGUGUGGAGAGAGAUUUUGUAAGUCCGGUCUGGAAGUGGUCAUUGUUCAGAAUCCAGCCACGUGGGUACAUGGAACUGUAAGAAUAUGUUCUGUGGACACUACAGAUGCAGAUUAAAUCACCUGCAAAGUGAAUCUGUCAGCCCUAACAAUAAGAAUAGCUCUUUUAUGAUGAGCAGGUGAGACCAGGUAAUUACCGAAGAAAGAGAGUGAUGUGUUCAUUGAAGUCUACUCAUGGAGGAAAGAAGGCUAUUUCAACAUGGGAAACUGAAAUCGGGCAUAUCCCUGCGGAAGAAGAUUUAUGGCUGCAGCAUUCCCAAGAAGGGGUAGGGAGGGGCAUAUAAUGAGCUACCCUCAGGGGAUCAGAAAGAAAAGGGAAGCUGUCUCUUAGCGAAGAAUAAAACUGUGGACUGACCCCCACCCAUUUGCGAAGAAAGUACUGGGUCUUCAGCUUUCAUUGUUCAGCCGGUGGUCUUUGUGGACAACACCAGGGGCCCCUCCUGCUGAAGACUGUCUGGACUUCCUGAUUUUCACUCCUGUAUAAACCCCCUCCCCCAUUACUACCUUUGUCUCCUUGGGGAAAAAAAAUGUUUUUCACUUAAGCAAAAUAAUAACUACCCAGUAUUUGUUUCUGGAGUGAAAUUGUAAACUUCAUUGUACAUUCUUCCUGGCUUUGAUGCUUAUCGUGAAGAGUUCAGUGAAAAUAAAUUGUUUUUAUGAAAGCAGAGAAA